CGGCCUGGGCGCGGCCUGGGCUCUGAUCCUUCCCCCUCUCCAAGUCUGCACAACCUCUCAGGAGGGUGAGCUGCUCCACGGAGGUGUGACAGCACCGGCAGGCAGCUGAGCGGUCAGUGGGGAGGCUGACCGAGCCCACAGGGAGCCCCUGUUUGCAGCGGUUUCUCAGCCCCUGCUGCCACCAUGGGAACUUUUAUCACUGACAGGAUUGGGGCAGAACGCCUCCUUAAAACUAAUUACAGCAAGUUUUUAAAUACUUUAAAGAGACAGAGAGCUCUCCCAUCUGCUGGUUCACUCCCCAAAUGGGCACAAUGACCACGGCGGGUCUGGUCGGAAGCCAGGAGCCAGGAGCUUCUUCCAGGUCUCCCACGUGGGCGCAGGGGCCCCAGCACUUGGGCCAUCUUCUACUGCUUUCCCGGGUGCAUUAGCAGGGAGCUGGAUCGGAAGUGGAGCAGCCGGGACUAGAACUCGCGCCCAUAUGGGAUGCCAGUGUCGCAGGCAGCAUCUUUACCUCUACUGCACCAUUUCUGGUCCCAAAGCAAAAUCCCACAAAAGGCCACGUGCCGGAUAAUUCCUGCUCACUGAAGGGUGCUCCUGGCUCUCACCGGGAAGAGCCUUCCUUUCAGGUUUGAAGGCAUGGUGACACUUUGCGUCUCAUCAUAAGGCCCUAAAAUUAGAGAUGGCCACAGACCCUCCAUAGCUUUAGUUUAAAAAAAAAGAUUUAUUUAUUAAUUUGAAAUAAAUUUAUUAUUUGAAAGAUGGAGUUAUGGAGGGAUAGAGAGAGAGAUAGAGAGAGAGAGAGAGUCUCCCAUCCUCUGAUUCACUCGCCAAAAAGCUGCAACAGUCGGGGCUGUGCCGAUCCAGAGCCAGGAGCCUGGAGUUUCUUCUGGGCCUCCCACGCAGGUGCAGGGCCCAAGGACCUGGGCCAUCUUCUGCUUUCCCAGGCCACAGCAGAGAGCUGGAUCAGAAGAGCAGCAUUCGGGACUUGAACCUGUGCCCACAUGGGAUGCCGAUGCCACAGCGCCAGCCCCAGCCCCGUGGCAUGAAUUUCAGCAGCACCUUCAGACAGCACCCUUGUACACCACACCCGAGACCCAGGUGGUCCAGAGACCAUGUCCAAGGGUGGUGACGGUGUGCUCAGAGACUACUGUCCAGCUAACGGGCAGCACGGACAGCCAGCCCUCUGCCUCGGGCCCCGCACCCACGGUUGCAACUGUGGACGGAAGACGCUUGGGAAAAGGCUGCUUCUGCAGAGCCGCGACGGGGGGCCUCGUCCCCAGCAGCAGAGGGGCAGGUAGACCAGAUGGGCAGGUGGACCAGAGGGGCAGGUAGACCAGAGGGGCAGGUGGACCAGAGGGGCAGGUGGACCAGAGGGGCAGGUGGACCAGAGGGGCAAGUAGACCAGAUGGGCAGGUGGACCAGAGGGGCAGGUGGACCAGAGGGGCAGGUGGACCAGAUGGGCUUGCUUAGUGGAGAUGGAUGGGACAGGCUCUUCAUGCAAGAGUUGACGCGAGACAGGAGCAAGGGCCAAUGGCGUGGGGACCUCUCCCACAGGACCCCAGAGCCCCUAGUUCACCGCUGGACUUGGGUCUGUGUUCCUCCACAAAGGACUGGCUGAGUGUGAAUCAGAUGAAACUCCUAAGGUUUCAUACCUAGUGGUACCACGCAAGGUAGCCCCCCCACCCCCAAAGCCGGGACUACCUGCAGUGCUAGAAGUGUGGGCAGGACUUUGUAGUGUAAAAUACAGGGCUUCCAAGGCUGUUAGUUUUA
Oryctolagus cuniculus (rabbit) is the source of this 1770-nucleotide non-coding RNA. The record is from RefSeq and is a predicted model, not a curated record. NCBI's taxonomy places the organism in Eukaryota, Metazoa, Chordata, Mammalia, Lagomorpha, Leporidae.